This is a long non-coding RNA of Vigna angularis (adzuki bean), 1232 nucleotides long. RefSeq lists it as uncharacterized. Lineage: Eukaryota; Viridiplantae; Streptophyta; Magnoliopsida; Fabales; Fabaceae. The transcript has 3 exons. The record is from RefSeq and is a predicted model, not a curated record.
UGGAAAGUGUAAAUGCCAAAACCAUGGAGUAACAGUGAGCAACAAAUACAAAAGGAAUAUUCCAGAAUACUUCUUCAAUUGCCAUAGAGCUACCUCUCUUCCUACUAUAUAAACCGUGUUCUCCUUCAUUUAACAUCACACCGCAGCACCAUCAUCAUCUUCUUCUUCAGGCUUCUUAUAUUUCUCAUCAUCAUCUUCUUCUUCAGUCUCUCAAUAUAGAAAGACAAUUAUACAGGGAAAUGGCGGACUCUUCAACUUCAACAUCACAGUCCAACCAUACCGUAAUAUCCAAUGCAGAUCCUGUGAAUGCUCCUGACCUUUCCUUUUUACAAGAAGAAUUUUUACAAGAAAAUGCUAAAAAUGAGCUUGGAAGACUCUCCAACAAACGAUAGAACUGGACCAAGAAAUUAGCACGAAGAAAUGCCAUCAGCAGUGCAAGAACGCUCGUCCUAGGAGAGCGGACGCUCGCCCAGAAGGCAGAAGAGCGGACGCUCGUCCAGAGUGGAAGCACGAGCGGACGCUCGUCCAUGAGCUGGAGGACGUUCGUCCCAGAUUGAGGACGCUCGUCCAGUCAAGCGGACGCUCGUCCAAGGAAGGAGGACGCUCGUCCCAGGACAGUGGACGUUCGUCCAGGCAGGACGCUCGUCCGAGGACACUCGUCCCAGAAGCGGGCGGUCGUCCAGAGGAGAGGACGUUCGUCCCAGGCAGAGGGCGCUCGUCCAGCCAGGCAGAAGUGGACGCUCGUCCAGCCAGCAGAGGACGCUCGUCCAGAACGCUCGUCCAGGAAGGAGGACGCUCGGCCAGAUUGAAGGACGUUCGUCCAAAUGCGAGAGGCUCGCGCUUGGGCGCGAGAACAGAGGGGCGCCCGGGCGCGACUUUUCGCCAGUUUUCAAUUUUUCCAGAGAGUCUCGCGCCCGGGCGCGACUGACAGAGGGCGCCGGGCGCGACUUUUGCUGAUGUGUCUAUUUAACCCUAAAACGCAAAGGGGAAAUGGUCUUUGGUCAUUUGGAGGCGCAAUUUCACAGCUGGAGCUCAUGGAGGGCGUGAGGAGCUUGUGGGAACAUCUCCUCCUCUUCCUUUGGGUCUCCUUCUUCUUCCAUCUUCCAUGUUGUAAGCUUUAAGGUUCUCCAUGGAAAUGGAGAACCAAACCCAUCUUGUUGGGAUUAGUUGUAGCCUUUGAAUUCUUGUGUAAUUGUUGAAUGAUUUGAUUAUAUAUAUGCCUUUUCUAUCAA